Molecule: non-coding RNA, 99 nt
Organism: Pluteus cervinus
Lineage: Eukaryota; Fungi; Basidiomycota; Agaricomycetes; Agaricales; Pluteaceae
Source: the annotation of a GenBank genome assembly
UCUCUUAUAGUAUAACGGAAAUUACACGCACCUCAGAUGAGAACGAUAGGAGUAUCGUGGAUUCUGUGUGAGAUCUGGGUUCGAAUCCCGGUGGGAGAU